CUCUGAGCAAAGAAUGCUUUCCUAAUAUCUGACCUCAACGUUUCCCCUUGCAGUUUAAUGUACACAUGAGGUGUGCACACAGCUCACCACCGAAAACUCCAGGUCAGUGAGACUUAUAGGACCUCCUGCUUCAGCUUUAAACGUGGAAGAAAGAAACACAGCUUAACAUUACCUUUCCUUCCUCUAUGCUGAGCUGAUAAACUUUGAAAAAUCAGAGGAAUGCUUAGAGGUAACUCCUUCUGGAGCUCGUUAAAAGCACACUUAAAACAGACAAUAUCAUCUUUUUCCUUGUAUUUUGGAAUAGUUUUGAGCUCCCGAGCACAGAAAACACAUCAGCUGUAUCAAGAGGAACACGCAUACAGAAAUACCCCUAUUAAGAAAAUAAUUAGGGCUAUAUAAAGAACAGCCAAACAAAAAGAACAAGCUGAAAAGCCUCCAAAAGACGCAGGCACACAUUGAAAUAGCUCAGCCUCACUUUCCAGGUGAUAGAAAUCAGCUGAGUCCCAGCACAGCUGAUGUUGGUGAAGGGUAUAAGCAUGCAUGGAGUGCAAGUUUACUUCUUUUAUGCUGGGGUUAAGCAUACUUGAUUUUUCUGGACUGAAGGAAGUCUUGUCUGUGGACCAAUCAAACGUUGGAGCCAGCCUUCUAAAUCUGGGAUCAGUCAGGUCAAUGACAGCAGAGCGUUAUGAGCAGCUCUAAGCUGGACUGGGAUGGAAAGAAGCAAAAAGUCAUGAUUUCAAAGCAGGAUCCUCCUUCAUCUCUGCAACAGGUAGCAUCAGGAUUAGUCAUGGCCCAAGACAAAAGACCCAAAGGAUUGGGAUUUGCAGAGCUUUCCUUCAGUCUGCUGCCCCUUGAAGCUCACUCCUAUGGCAUCCAAAGGAGAGCAAGUUGGCUGUUUGCAGUUAUGCCACUGGAUCUGGCUUCAACACCACUGUAUCAAUCUACAGUGGAAAGACUGUGUGUACUCCACAUUUUAGGCAUCUUUGGGACAUGUUUUCCAUUGCCUCAGAGGUACCUGCAUCUCCAACUGUUCCUAUUUUUCUGUGGCUGGCAUCUUUGAGUAAAAUGCUGACCUGAGCUCUUCUGAGCACUGCUAGAUGGCUGACAGCAGAAGGAACUGAGGGACAGUUGAAACACUGGGGAACCUGAUAGAAGAGGUGACACUGUGUGGAUAAAUGGAAACUCAGUAGAAUAAAAGAAGAAGAACUAGAUUUAAAAGAACAAAGACUUCUAGUUUGCUUGGCUCCACGUUGACUCUAUGAAAGACACAUGUAUGAAGAAGGCUCAGUGUAAAUCUGAUGAUUUUCUAAAGAUGUGAUGUGUUUGGAUCCUGGAUAUGAAACAUCUACUUUCCGUUGAGACUGUGUCACAGUUCUGCCUUUAUCCUGUGGUGUUUUCUGAAUUUGUUCUGUCUGAUUACGGUCACGUUUAGAGAACUGUUGCUUCAGAACACAAAGGCCCCUCACCUGUUGUCUCUCAUCCUCUGCCAGUGAAUGCCAGACACUUCCAAAGAAGGUGAGGAAUCAAACUGCUCAUCUAAUCUUUGUUCUGCUAAAACUACCCUAGAUGGAAGGUCUGAGAUCCAACAAGACCAUCUCAUAAUCCAGAGGGAAACAGCUACAAGGGAGCCUGGGAAUCAUCAAGUGUGCCUGAAGCAUGGACAAUCAUUGGAGCAAAACAGGAAUUAAACAGAAAUUGUAAACUUAUAUUCUCUGUGUAAUGAAAGAAGAAUCAUCACAUCCAUUUUGCAUUAUAGUCUUGAUCUCAUUAUACACAAUAAAUAGAAGAUGUGGAUGCAAGUCUUUUCUUGACCUUGAAGGAAAUCAAAUCCAUAGCUCGGUUAUUUUAGAACUUCUUUUGCCAAUGCCUGGGAGAGAUGGGCCACUUAGUGUCCAUUUGUGAGAGUAGGUGUUAUAAACUCUAUUGGUGGGAGACACUCUCCUCAUUAGAUAUACAAGUUCAGGUGCCAUGAAUCCUUCUGGAAACGCAGCCUUUCCUUGCUUUCCAUCUUGUUUUCCAGGUCUUACACAGCUGGCUAGGCUGACCAAUCAACUUGACAAAGGAAAUCAAGUCAGGAGUAUUGCUCUGUUCUAUCCACUAAGUUGCAUUGUGGUAUGCAGCCAGCACUCCUGAUCCUGUAGUCUUCACACACCUUGUAGUUACUUGCAUCAUAAGGGAAUGAGUGAGGUUUAUUUCACAAAGAUGCUGGAACGAGGGGUGAUGAUCUCAAUUCACAGUUUUACUGAGAUAUCGGUUUAAUUCAGCUUCAGGCUGUCUGUGCAAACCAAAGUGAUCAAUUCUUCUGUCAAACCAAAUCAUCUUCUACAUACACUUGUACAAUGUUAUUGCCAAAUCACUUUAAAUUUUAUAAAAUUUAAAAUUCAAAGAUCAAAACUAUAGUUAAGGUCAGGCACCUGCCUUGGGGAUUUAAGACCUACGUCUGCCAGCUCUCACAGGAGAAAGACAAGUAACCACUUUGUGCAUGUGAUGUCUGUGCAUGCAGGCACACCAUGACCUAAUGGAACAGGAAAACUAUCUCUUUUUCAGGAACAGGGGUGUUGUUUCCAUAUUCCCAUGGCUUUCUAUCAACUCAGGUCUCUAAACAAAAAGUGCACUGUUUGCUUAUAGUAUUGAUGGGAACUCCUCAAAAUGCAAGCAAAGUGGAACAGACCCAGGUAGAAGGAAGAAAACCCAAAGACAAUAGUCUACAGGGCUAGGGGAACCAUUCAUUCCAGAGUGGUGAUUUUGAAGUCUGCAGUCUUCAUGUUCACUGCCAUUGCAGUCACCACCUCAUAAACUUAGCAGGUUCCAGGAAUUCAUUUAUUUGCUCCCUCUGGAAGACUUGCUCCAGUCGUUAAAAAUCAUCUUCCACUUUCCAACCUAAAUUUAUUCAUGACCAGUUUAUCCCCAUCUGUUCCGAUGCCAAUGAUGUCUUAGGUUUAAAUAGCUUUUUUCCCUCUCUACUCUUUAACUCCCAUUUUAUUUAUAGGGUAUGAUCUUAACUGCUCCAAUCUUGCAUUUUGCUGAGCUAAACACGUCAAAGACUUUGAGUCUCCUAAACAGGGCACACCCUUCCUCUGAUGGUCCUUGUUGCCCUUUGCACCUAUUCCAGGUUGAAUUCAUCUUCCUUCAACGCAACAAACUAAAAUCAACCCUUAGAGUCCAGUGGCUUUGUAUGAUGCUAUUAACAGGUUCACCAGGCUAGAGAGGCCCUUUGUGCAGGGCAUUCCUUUUAAAAGUCAUCUUGCUCCAUCUCAAGAAAACUGUAGCCAUAGAAUCCUAAGUGUUGGAAAAGACCUCUAAGAUCACCAAGUCCAAAUAUCAACCCAUCCCCACCAUGCCCACUAAACCAUGUUUCCGUGUGCCAUAUCCCCAUGUUUCUUUAAAACCUCCAGUCAUUUCUAUCCUACCUCUACUGGAAAACUGCUGCCUGGUCUCCACCAUAAUCUUACAUGUGCGUACGCUUUACAAUCAUUCUUUUUUCUUGUCCCAUAGCUUUGUUCCUAAAGGGACAAGUAAUACUCAGCAUCUUUGUCUCUCCCAUCUGAAGGAGGAAACACUUUUCCCUUCAUUUCUGGAACAUAUUAUUUUAGGAUUAGCUCCUCUUGCACUUUUAAUUAAGGAAGGCCAUACUAAAGUAACUCUAGUUCUUCAUCCUCUUCUGCAUGGAAGUGCUACAACCAUGGCUGCAUUCAGGCUAUCCAGAGCAUGUUAGCCCAUGAGUAAACUCUUUUUCUUUCUACACCCAGGUUUUCUUAAAAAGGAAACCAAGCAGUUCAGUCCAUAUUAGAACACGGUAUGUGAUGUGGGUGACCUGUGGUGAAAGGUAUUUGAAAAAAAAAAAAAAGAAAGGAAUCAUCUUGACAAUCAUUUUAUAUCAACAUUCCUUUCUCUACCAGCAGACAACCCACACAAUACUGAAAAUGGGUAGAAUUUGGAGACACCAUUUCCUCCUCCAAGUAAAAAUGAAACCAAGUCCAAGAAGCCCCAAGGAGCUCAUGGCACGAGUCCCAGGGAUGGGGAGAAAACACCAUG
Molecule: long non-coding RNA, 4035 nt
Organism: Tympanuchus pallidicinctus (lesser prairie-chicken)
Lineage: Eukaryota; Metazoa; Chordata; Aves; Galliformes; Phasianidae
Exons: 5
Source: RefSeq, a predicted model, not a curated record